UACGUAGGGGGCAAGCGUUAUCCGGAAUUACUGGGUGUAAAGGGAGCGUAGACGGUAAUGUAAGUCUGGAGUGAAAGGCGGGGGCCCGACCCCCGGACUGCUCUGGAAACUAUGUUACUAGAGUGCAGGAGAGGUAAGCGGAAUUCCUAGUGUAGCGGUGAAAUGCGUAGAUAUUAGGAGGAACACCAGUGGCGAAGGCGGCUUACUGGACUGUAACUGACGUUGAGGCUCGAAAGCGUGGGGAGCAAACAGG
RNAcentral lists this ribosomal RNA (253 nucleotides) under uncultured bacterium. RNAcentral describes it as "partial 16S ribosomal RNA". It matches the Rfam family "Bacterial small subunit ribosomal RNA", at positions 524 to 776 of the family's 1533-position model. The record is from RNAcentral.